CUGUCGCAUUUAGGGACAUCAUAGUCCCCCCAAAGCAUAACAUCUGAAUUUCAUACCACAAUUGCAUUGAAAGCGACCAAAAGCUCGAGUAUACCAUAGCAGUUUUACAUAAUUCAUAUUGCAAUUCUAUUUACAAUCAGCUAGAUGCCAGCCAAUAAGGGUCGCAAAUGAGUAUAAAUUUGUAGGCAAUUAUAAUAUAUACCAUCUGAAUAGAUACUAAUUUUUUCAUCGGUCUUAUACAUACCUAGUAGAGAAGUUUUCUUUCAGAUGAUUCUUGUUUUGCUUCUACUUCCUUGUCAAACAGCACACGUACAUUGUUACAAAAAGGCCAGAAAUGAGUCAAGCAUACAAACCCAAUCGUACACUACAAGUUGAGAAUUUAAAUUUUAAUUGCAUUUCGGAUCAUUUUGCAAAUUAGGGUCGCAUCUGAAUUCAAAAUCAUAGGCAACUAGUGUCGAACAUAUUAUCCAACAUCAUAUUACGAAUUAAACAUUCAUCUUGCAAGCAAUGUUCAUCCUCACAAAUCAAAACAACCACCAGGGUUUCUAUAGCCACUUAAAUUUAGAUUCAUGAAGAUUAAAUGUCCUUGAAUGAGAUCAUGAAAGCAUAUCAUCCAUUUUCAUAUUAUGAAUAAAGAAUUCAUACAACAGUGUAUAACUUCGAUCCAACCAUCCAUCGAUUGUGAAUAAAGAAUUCAUGUUACAGUAUCAUUUAGGAGCAUCAGCCAAUUAGGGUCUAACUCAUCCAUAUUCCAGAUUGUAGGCAACAAGGGUCAAACAUACGAAUCCCUUUUCUUAUAUAUACCCACUAUAAAGGGUUGGAAAGGGCACUCAAAAAAUAAAUCAAAUUAUUUAUCAAUCUUUCUUGAUUAUACUAUAUGUGUUUCUUCAUCCUUUGCAAAGAUCAAAGAAGCAGCAACAUGGUCAACAAAACAAAAGAACUUAAAACAUAACAUUGGUAAAACUACAAUUCAUCUGUAAAGAGAAAAAGGAAAACCCAUCACUGUGCAUAUUGGGAAAUAUCAUGUGUAAGAUGAAUAGAAGUUCCACUGAAAACAUAACAGAGGUAAAAUUACAAUUCAUCUUUCCACUCACCAUCAAAUCCUUGUUUCACUUGUUCCUGUAACAUAACCACAUAAACUUUUCAAUUAUUCAUCAAUUCUAUAGCAGAUUUGAAAAUCAGGAAAUGCAAGUAACAGAACUAUUCAAAUUAAAAGAAGACAAACCUCCGUAGUUUUGAGUAAAGCCAGAAGUGCAGUGCACAACUGCAAUAACAGCCUUUCCAACCAUAUCUACCAUAUUUUCCCAUAAUUAUAGUAAAAUACAUCGCAUAUUUCUUACAUAUUUGUAAAUACAUUGCAUCUGCCAGCCAAUUAUAAGGGUCUCAAAUUAAUUUAAAUUUGUAGGCAAUUAAGGUCAAAUGAACAGAUACUAAUUUUUUCAUAGGUCUUAUACAUAC
Molecule: long non-coding RNA, 1458 nt
Filed under: Lupinus angustifolius (narrow-leaved blue lupine)
Lineage: Eukaryota; Viridiplantae; Streptophyta; Magnoliopsida; Fabales; Fabaceae
Description: long non-coding RNA (LANG_LNC000972)
Source: RNAcentral